UGAAUGUACUGGAAGAAUAAGGAUCGGCUAACUCCGUGCCAGCAGCCGCGGUAAUACGGAGGAUCCGAGCGUUAUCCGGAUUUAUUGGGUUUAAAGGGUGCGUAGGCGGCCUGUUAAGUCAGGGGUGAAAUACGGUGGCUCAACCAUCGCAGUGCCUUUGAUACUGACGGGCUUGAAUCCAUUUGAAGUGGGCGGAAUAAGACAAGUAGCGGUGAAAUGCAUAGAUAUGUCUUAGAACUCCGAUUGCGAAGGCAGCUCACUAAGCUGGUAUUGACGCUGAUGCACGAAAGCGUGGGGAUCGAACAGGAUUAGAUACCCUGGUAGUCCACGCCCUAAACGAUGAUAACUCGAUGUUGGCGAUAGACAGCCAGCGUCCCAGCGAAAGCGUUAAGUUAUCCACCUGGGGAGUACGCCCGCAAGGGUGAAACUCAAAGGAAUUGACGGGGGCCCGCACAAGCGGAGGAGCAUGUGGUUUAAUUCGAUGAUACGCGAGGAACCUUACCCGGGCUUGAAAGUUAGUGAAGGAUGCAGAGACGCAUCCGUCCUUCGGGACACGAAACUAGGUGCUGCAUGGCUGUCGUCAGCUCGUGCCGUGAGGUGUUGGGUUAAGUCCCGCAACGAGCGCAACCCCUAUGUUUAGUUGCCAGCAUUUAAGGUGGGGACUCUAAACAGACUGCCUGCGCAAGCAGAGAGGAAGGUGGGGACGACGUCAAGUCAUCAUGGCCCUUACGUCCGGGGCUACACACGUGCUACAAUGGAUGGUACAGCGGGCAGCUACAUAGCAAUAUGAUGCUAAUCUCUAAAAGCCAUUCACAGUUCGGAUUGGGGUCUGCAACUCGACCCCAUGAAGUUGGAUUCGCUAGUAAUCGCGUAUCAGCAAUGACGCGGUGAAUACGUUCCCGGGCCUUGUACACACCGCCCGUCAAGCCAUGAAAGUUGGGGGUACCUAAAGCAUGUUACCGCAAGGAG
Molecule: ribosomal RNA, 969 nt
Filed under: Sphingobacterium sp.
Lineage: Bacteria; Pseudomonadati; Bacteroidota; Sphingobacteriia; Sphingobacteriales; Sphingobacteriaceae
Description: bacterial SSU rRNA
Rfam family: Bacterial small subunit ribosomal RNA
Source: RNAcentral